Pungitius pungitius (ninespine stickleback) is the source of this 525-nucleotide long non-coding RNA. RefSeq lists it as uncharacterized. The transcript is spliced from 3 exons. NCBI's taxonomy places the organism in Eukaryota, Metazoa, Chordata, Actinopteri, Perciformes, Gasterosteidae. The record is from RefSeq and is a predicted model, not a curated record.
CUCUUCCGUAUAAUGUCGAUCCAAUAUGGCGCCGUGUGGUGAAUGUGGAACUUAUCCAGCAGGAAGUGGCCGAGAGGACCCGACGACUCGCAAGCACAGUUCGAUAACUUAAACCAUAACAUCGCUCUGAAAACAGAGGAGAUGGUUGUGGAUUUCAGGAAGACCGCAACCCCCCCACACCCUGUGUGACUACCCCUUUGACGAUGUGGAUUCCUUCUGUUUCCUGGGCUCCAUCAUCACACAGGACGUGGGAGCUGAACAUCAGCUCCAUCACCAAAAAGGCUCAGCAGAGGAUGUUCUUCCUGAGGCAGCUGAAGAAAUUGAACCUGCCAAAGACGAUGAUGGUGCACUUCUACACGGCCAUCAUCAAGUCCAUCCUCUGCUUCUCCAUCACCGUCUGAUCCCAAAAGCUACCUGGUCCUCGCCUGCUGUGCUGCCUGCCUCCUGCCAGUCUGGCGUCUCCACCUGGACUCCACCACUGAGUUGCCAGACCUGUACCUUGAGUUUGUUCAUUAAAUUACUUGA